GCCAGCAUGGUAUAGGGGUUUGAGCAUGAGACUAUGACUCCAAAAAUCAGGGUUUGAAUCCCUGUUCAGCCA
Phrynosoma platyrhinos (Desert horned lizard) is the source of this 72-nucleotide non-coding RNA. The record is from the annotation of a GenBank genome assembly. Lineage: Eukaryota; Metazoa; Chordata; Lepidosauria; Squamata; Phrynosomatidae.